Aphis gossypii (cotton aphid) is the source of this 200-nucleotide long non-coding RNA. RefSeq lists it as uncharacterized. The transcript has 3 exons. The record is from RefSeq and is a predicted model, not a curated record. NCBI's taxonomy places the organism in Eukaryota, Metazoa, Arthropoda, Insecta, Hemiptera, Aphididae.
GUGUAUUAUUAAAAUUGUUUUCAUUUUAUUAUAUCCUAUCAUAAUGUUCUUUAUUAAGUAUAAUUUAAUUUCUAUUACAAUUCUAGUUAUUGCGAUUUGGGUUAUGCCUACUUUAGCAAAUCCUUUUUUUACGGCUCUUCUUAAGGAUUAUCUUAAAUUUCAAAAUGAUCGUGCUCUUGAUCCAAAAGUAGAUUAUCAAA